GUUAUAGAAAUUCGUAGUAUGUAUUUUGACUUAAAUUGCCAGUAUUCUUUUAUUUGAUAUCAUAUGCAAAUCGUUGAAUAUGUUUGAGACUUGAAAAUGAAAUUGGUAGUGGUAAGCAAAUUGAAAUUCAGUAAUUUAUUCAUUUUACAGUCGAUGUUUUGUAUGAGACUUCGAGAUGGAAAGACAAAUGGUUGAUAACCAUUGAUGUGUUAGAAAUUGUGUACUUUGAUUUGCCUUCUAGCUACUUUUGUUGUUUGUCAGCUACUCUUAAUCAUCUCGCUAGGACAAGGAUGUGGAGUCCAUGAGCUGAGUUUGAUUUGGUUUCAUUUUUAGUUUGUUUUUUGAAACUUCUGUAAAUUAAUUGUUGGACACGGGUCACCAUUUCUGGAUUAUAAGAGGUUCUACGUACCAAUUAAAUUACUUCAAAAGCAAACUAAUCGAACUUGAACUUCUAUUAUUGCAUCAAGAGGUGCCCCCUGUAAUUCAGAAAAUUAAUACUUUGCACAAACAAAUAUUGCUAUUUUCAAUCUUCAGCGUUGCCAUCAUCACUUGACAGUUGACAAUAGCAUCCACAACACAUCAGAUUCUACUGCUUCUUGCACUUAAACCAUAGAUCUUAUUAUUGCACUAGUAUUUGAAUUACAGUGACUUGCUUGAAAUCACACUUUGCAUAACAUAACAUUGUUUCCUCCAUUUAUUAGUUUUGCUAUCAUCAAUCAGCCUUCAAACACACCCUGAUGAUGAGGUUUUUCAAACAGCUGCAGAAACUCCAUCAAUUGAUGAUAGCACGACACAACCAUACCACUCUGAAUUCAUCAGCUUCUUCCACAUGAACUAGUAACUACAACCUGGAAAGCUGUGAGUUAAUUGGGAAGUAGGAAACAGGGAUUGGAGCUCGAGAUGACUUGGGUUUGCUUUUUGGUUUCCCAGAGGAUGCUGCUUUCUUGCUGUGACCACCAGCAUCAUCGGAUACCCUUGACGACGACGGCACGAAGCAACUGAAAAACGCUGGGAAGAGAACCAUUGUUUGUAUCAACUAAAUGGUUGCUGGACUAUUAGAGGCUGGGCAGAGGAGAAUGAAUUGCUAACAACUGAUCAACAUGUUACCAUUUCUGAUUGAACUUGAACUAUUCAGAAGCAAACUGAUUGAACUUGAACUUCGAUUAUUGCAUCAGGUUUUUCAACCAGCUGCAGGAACUCCAUCAAUUGAUGAUAGCACGACACAACCAUACGCCACUCCUGAAUCAUCAUGAACAGCUAACUACAACCGGGAAAGAUGUGUGUUAACUGGGAAGUUGGAAACUGGGAUUGGAGGAGUUUGAGAUGACUUGGAUUUGCUUUCUUGUUUCCCAGAGGAUGCCCCUUUCUUGCUGUGACCGCCAGCCUCGUCGGAUAUCCGUGACGACGACGGGACAAAGCAACUGAAGAACACUGAGAAAGUAACCAUUGUUUGUAUCAACUAAACGGCUGCUGAACUAUCAAAGAGGUUGGGCAGAAGAGAAUGAAUUGCUAACAUGUGAGUUGAGCUGACCAAAAUGCUACUUUAUUUAUAGUGACAUUGUUUGGACUCGGAUUCUUGCAGAGCACGUCUCAGUUUCAGUUGUGAAUUCAUUAGAUUAUUAAUGGUUUGCUGUCAUAUAGUUUUUUUAUUUAUUUUUAUUUUAUUUUUUUUAUAUUUUUUUUUAAGUACAAAAAUGGUGACGCCAGCAAUGAUGUAGUGUUGCAGAGUCACAUGAUUUUAUUUAUUUUUAAAUCAUAUUCUGAUUUUAUUUAUUUUUAAAUCAUAUUCUGAUUUUUUUUUUUUUUUUU
Cornus florida is the source of this 1809-nucleotide long non-coding RNA. RefSeq lists it as uncharacterized. Lineage: Eukaryota; Viridiplantae; Streptophyta; Magnoliopsida; Cornales; Cornaceae. The record is from RefSeq and is a predicted model, not a curated record. The transcript has 3 exons.